GGCUGGCCUGAUGGUAUUAAGUUAUCUCAACUGAUUGUUCAGUCAGUUACAGAUGGAACUCCUUGUUCCACUCUUUCCUCCCCUUCUACUACUACACUUGACUAGUCUUAA
Unclassified non-coding RNA from Cercocebus atys (sooty mangabey), 111 nucleotides. It matches the Rfam family "Y RNA". Rfam says of the family: Y RNAs are components of the Ro ribonucleoprotein particle (Ro RNP), in association with Ro60 and La proteins. The Y RNAs and Ro60 and La proteins are well conserved, but the function of the Ro RNP is not known. Lineage: Eukaryota; Metazoa; Chordata; Mammalia; Primates; Cercopithecidae. The record is from Ensembl.